RNAcentral lists this ribosomal RNA (253 nucleotides) under uncultured bacterium. Its description in RNAcentral is "partial 16S ribosomal RNA". It matches the Rfam family "Bacterial small subunit ribosomal RNA", at positions 524 to 776 of the family's 1533-position model. The record is from RNAcentral.
UACGUAGGGACCGAGCGUUGUCCGGAAUCAUUGGGCGUAAAGAGCGUGUAGGCGGCCACUUAAGUCCUGCGUGAAAUCUUGCGGCUCAACCGCAAGCGGUCGUGGGAAACUGGGUGGCUAGAGUGUGGUAGGGGAGAUCGGAAUUCCUGGUGUAGCGGUGAAAUGCGCAGAUAUCAGGAGGAACACCGGUGGCGAAGGCGGAUCUCUGGGCCAUUACUGACGCUGAGGAGCGAAAGCGUGGGGAGCGAACAGG